UAUCCAUCCAUCCAUCAUCAUCCGCUUAUCCUGCGUACAGGGUCGCAGGCGGCUUGAGCCAAUCCCACCUUACAUCGGGCGAAAGGCAGGGUACACCCUGGACAGGUUGCUAGUCCAUCGCAGGCAUUAAUAAUAUAUUCCUAUGCUCCCAUGAGAGAGCAGAUGUCCUGAAGAAGGAGGUUUCCUGUGCCUGUGAUGAAGAGGGCUAAACCCCAACAGGCUGCUCAUCACUCUUUUUAAUUUACACCCACGGCUGGCUGUGUAGUGGCUCGCCCGUCCAUUAUCCCAGGUGGACUGUGAGCAGAGAGAGGGAAGAAAAAGGGGAAGGAGAAGAAGAGAGAGAUGAGAAAUGAGGACAACAAAAGAAAGAAGGGAAUACAGAGUACAGGGAAGGAUCAAGAGAGAAAAAGGGAGAGAUG
Molecule: long non-coding RNA, 419 nt
Organism: Micropterus dolomieu (smallmouth bass)
Lineage: Eukaryota; Metazoa; Chordata; Actinopteri; Centrarchiformes; Centrarchidae
Exons: 3
Source: RefSeq, a predicted model, not a curated record